RNAcentral lists this long non-coding RNA (3783 nucleotides) under Sus scrofa (pig). Its description in RNAcentral is "lncRNA (ENSSSCG00050028354.1)". Lineage: Eukaryota; Metazoa; Chordata; Mammalia; Artiodactyla; Suidae. The record is from RNAcentral.
ACAUUCCCACCGACCGCUCCGCCGGCGCGGAUCCGCUAGACCCGUGUUUGCAAGGAGCUCGGCGUAGCCGCGUCCCAUCCCGUGCGGGAGCCGGCGGGGGAGACCCGCGCGUCCAGACCGAAGUCCAGUGCAGGUGCAAAGGGCGGGAAAUAGCGAUGACGUCGCAGGUCGACCUGAGGGACCAGUCCCCAAGAUCUUUUUUCUCAGGCAAAAUGCUUUGAAGAGCUCACCACAUACACAUUCCUGAUUUUCAUUAAAGCGCCUCGUGAAAGUUUACAUAAAGAACACACAAAAGGCACAGCCCGUACCUUCCUGCCCAUGCCAGAAAAAGAGGAUGUCAAGUCACGGCUACCAAACGACAGGACCCUUGAGAGCAGAUGGCAUAAAGGUGCUGAUGGACACCUGAUAGCCUACUGCCUUUGUGUGGAAACUGAGAAGAUUUGCUGUGCUGAUUUAACCGCCUGCAAUUUUUUUCUGAUGUUGUCAUGACAAAAAGAAUGCUGAUUCUGUCCAUUUGAACCUCUGUGUGAGCCUGACUUUGCAUAUCCUGGGCAUUCUUCGACCUUCCGUAAAGAUGUCUGAACCCGAUGCUUCAUCUGUGUUCUCAGGAAGCAUGGAGAAUGGAACUUUCCUCCAGCUCUUCCCCACAUCCCUGUCCACAUCGGUGGACCCGUCCUCAGGCCACUUGUCAAAUGUCUACAUCUACGUAUCCAUAUUCCUCAGCCUUUUAGCCUUCCUGCUUCUGCUUUUAAUCAUUGCCCUCCAGAGGCUCAAAAAUAUCAUCUCCUCCAGUUCCUCCUACCCAGAGCACCCAAGUGAUGCUGGAAGUUCCUUCACCAACUUGGAAGUCUGCAGUAUUUCCUCACAAAGGUCCACUUUUUCAAACCUUUCAUCCUGAAGAAAAUGGAAGAAUCCUUCGAUGCUAUGGCCACUUAAGGGGAAGUGUCACAUGAUGCAGAUGCCUCAAGAAAGAAAUGCCCCCGUUUUGAUCUUUUCCACCAAUUAGACCUGUUUCUCCUUCUCCUUCAGCCCUAACUACUGCUGUUCAUGACGCUUUUCAUUUGUGAACGUAGGCACUGAUGCUGAUGGAAAUGCAUGCAGGGUGCAGCUCUUCACCCAGACCACUUGAUGAAUCUGGAACUGGCUUCUUCUCGGUGGAUCAGGCCAUCCCGUUGGACACCUGAGGCAGCACUCACCUGGGGUGGUCUUGCAGAGGACGCUGGAUCUCGGCUCUGCCCUUCUUUUCUUUUAUGAAAUAAGAAUCUGAGUCAGCAGAAACUGGGAAAAUGAGCUAUGUAUAAGGCAUUUUCCAUAUUUAAAAGAUAAAGUGAAAACACCAAAUUAAAAAAAAGAGUCAAUUUAGAUUCCAUGCAUAACGUCUCCAAAACCGGAGGCAAAAAUAUGCUAAAUGUUUUAUUUCAUUUACUUUUACAAAUGAAAAUCACAUUUAUUGAUGAAUUAAGUCACACUUGGAAAAGUCUUAGAAGACUUUGACUUUUAAUAGCAAGGCAAAUAUGUGUUAUGAUGCAGUUUGUAAUGUAUUUCUGCCUCUUGGGAAUUUCUCCUACUUAUAGUCAAAAUGCCCUAUAUUUGUGGAAUUCUUUGUGAUAACUGCUGUUGCUAUUACUAAGAGAGGCGCCAGAGGAAACACAGGAACUAUUAUUUUAUGUCUGUAAUUUCCAUCAACGGGGAUCAUACAUAUGGAAAAUAUUCAUUUAGUUGUAUUUUAUACAGUAAUAACUCCUAGUGGUUGUGUAAGAAUGUUCCUUUAUUCAGUUUCACAAUCUUUAUAAAUUUAGUGCAAAAUUAUAUUAAGGCUCCAAGAUGUCAGAUGUUUGUUUACUCGCAUUAGACUGUAAAGCAUAGAAGACACAACUGCUAAUAUCCACGCUUUUAUCUACUCCUUGAAUGUUACGUCUCUGAUAAAUUGUGCAUUAAUGUAAUACUCUACAUUAGGAUUCAGGGAUGUGGGUUUAUGUUUAAAGUUGCAGACACUCAAGCUGGGUAGCUGCUGGGAGCUUAGUGAUCCUGGGAGCUGCCAUACUGUGGUCAGCCAAGCACAUCUGAACUAGGGGGCUUUGUCCAUGAAAUGAGGCAUACCCAUGAGCAUAGAUAUGGAAUACAGAUUGGAGCAGGGGUGGGUUAUCAAGCUCCCCUUUAAAACCAAACAAAGCAAACUACAGCUUCUUAAAAGUAAGAAGUUUAAUUUUUAUUUCAUUUAUUUAUUUUUUUUUGUCUUUUUGUCUUUUCUAUGGCCACACCUGCAGCAUGGAGGUUCCCAGGCUAGGGGUCGAAUCAGAGGUGAGGCACUGGCCUACACCAGAGCCACAGCAACGUGGGAUCUGAGCCACGUCUGCAACCUACACCACAGCUCUGGGCAACACCGGACCCUUAACCCACUGAGCGAGGCCAGGGAUCGAACCUGCCACCUCAUGGUUCUUAGAUUCAUUUCUGCUGCGCCACUAGGGGAACUCCAGAACAUCCUAAUUUUUUUUUUUUUUUUGGUCUUUUGUCCUUUUUUUAGGGCCGCACCUGCGGCGUAUGGAGGUUCCCAGGCUAGGGGUCCAAUCGGAACUAUAGCUGCUGGCCACAGCCACAGCCACAGCAACAAGGGAUCCGAGCCGUGUCUUCGACCUACACCACAGCUCACAGCAACACCAGAUCCUUAACCCACUGAAUGAGGCGAGGGAUUGAACCCGCAACCUCAUGGUUCCUAGUCAGGUUGGUUACUCACUGAGCCACGACGGGAACUCCUAAUUUUUAAAGUAAAGCAUCCGCAGUGUAAAUACUGAAAGUAUUCAGCCUACGAGGCCCACUGUAUCAACAUGACCCUGUCUUCCCGUUGUGUUGAUGCAACUACAUCCUUCUUGUCCAAAACAUUUCCUAAUCUCAAGUCGUUGGCCCUCAACCCACCCUUUGGUUUGUCUGUGUGGCAUCUCCAUCCAGAACUGGAAUGGGAUAAAGAAUCCGCCUUUUUCAUAGAGGAUAUCUUUGUCAUUCUACAAUCCUGAGACAGAUGUAAAGUGACAGGGAGGAUCAAAAAGGUUCCAUUUUAAUCCAUAAGCCUCACUUUAAUCAAACCACAUCGCUAUAUCAGAAAUAUCCCCCAAACACCACAAGACCUGCAGAGUUGUUGCCCUAAAAUGUAUAAUUAGUGAAAAUGUUACCUCCACUGUCAUUUUAAAGCAUAACAUAAAGAAUGUUAUUAUGUAGUAUAAGUGCUGGACAAGAAAAAUUCUGCUAUUUUAGACCAUUAUCAGCAUUCUGUUUGUGUGUGCAUGUGUGUGUGUGUAUACACAACACAUUCUCAGAAUAUAUAUAUAUAUUUUUUUUUUCACACACUCCCAAUUAAGAGUUGUGUGAAAGCUGCACAGGAUUAGAGGCAUCUAUGUUAUCACUUUCGCUCUUUGAUUACUCUUGUUCUAUUUUGGUUACCAAGGAAGAAAGGACGUGGAUGAACUGAUAUGAAUAAAUAAAGGAGCAAAUUCGCCCAUAACAAUUCAGUCUUAGUAUGAUCUCUUCUAAGUGGUAGCUUUAUUCUCUUUCCUUCUGGAAGAGAUCUAUUUGUUUUAAAUUUGCGGGCACCUCCCCCCACCACCCUGCCGUGACGGUUCUAGCUCUUAAAGUUAAGUAGAGUGACUGGGAAAAACAUUCGAGGAUGUAAAAUAGAAUUUGUCAUUACCAGCUUCUCAGGAUAACAGAUUGUACAAUUUAAGAUGAAUCUGUGUUAAGAGUUCAGAAAGGUUGGAAGACUGGGUCAUAAAUAAAGCAAUUAACCCCACU